ACGCUCGACACCUACGUGAGGCAGCAGUGGGGGAUAUUGCACAAUGGGGGAAACCCUGAUGCAGCAACGCCGCGUGAAGGAUGAAGGUUUUCGGAUUGUAAACUUCUGUUCUUAGUGACGAUAAUGACGGUAGCUAAGAAGAAAGCUCCGGCUAACUACGUGUCAGCAGCCGCGGUAAUCUGAGCGGGCUGGCAAGGC
This 198-nucleotide ribosomal RNA is filed under the name uncultured bacterium. RNAcentral's name for it is "partial 16S ribosomal RNA". It matches the Rfam family "Bacterial small subunit ribosomal RNA", at positions 328 to 539 of the family's 1533-position model. The record is from RNAcentral.